This 110-nucleotide ribosomal RNA is filed under the name Danio rerio (zebrafish). The record is from RNAcentral. Lineage: Eukaryota; Metazoa; Chordata; Actinopteri; Cypriniformes; Danionidae.
CACCACAGCCAUAUCACCCUGCAGCCCAAGACUCACUAAAGCUUAGCAGGGCUGAGCCUGGUUAGUACCUAGAUGGGAGACCACAUGGGAAAAUCAGGUUGCUGUUGGAA